Molecule: ribosomal RNA, 301 nt
Filed under: uncultured bacterium
Lineage: Bacteria
Description: partial 16S ribosomal RNA
Rfam family: Bacterial small subunit ribosomal RNA
Source: RNAcentral
CAGUCGCCGCGGGAAUACAGAGGGUGCGAGCGUUAAUCGGAUUUACUGGGCGUAAAGCGUGCGUAGGCGGCUUUUUAAGUCGGAUGUGAAAUCCUUGAGCUUAACUUAGGAAUUGCAUUCGAUACUGGGAAGCUAGAGUAUGGGAGAGGAUGGUAGAAUUCCAGGUGUAGCGGUGAAAUGCGUAGAGAUCUGGAGGAAUACCGAUGGCGAAGGCAGCCAUCUGGCCUAAUACUGACGCUGAGGUACGAAAGCAUGGGGAGCAAACAGGAUUAGAUACCCCAGUAGUCCCUGUCUCUUAUAC